Molecule: long non-coding RNA, 338 nt
Organism: Uranotaenia lowii
Lineage: Eukaryota; Metazoa; Arthropoda; Insecta; Diptera; Culicidae
Exons: 3
Source: RefSeq, a predicted model, not a curated record
CAACCAGUCAGACCUAUUUAUUUCAGCGGAAUCUUCCUGCCGGGCAACCCCAGACAGCACAGUGAGAUCCGGCGUAGGAAAGUUUCGACAGCUAUGAAAGGUCAAACGAUAGUGGACUCCAAGGGCAAUCUUUCAUCCAACCAAUUUGAAGAGGUAACUGUACUGACUGUUCCAGUCCUCCGGCUAAGCGGUUGCAAUCGGUUCCGAUCCGGUCUAAGGAGACACGACGGCUGGCGCCGAAACCCUUUGGUCGAAACAACUGUCCACCAACAAAUAUCGUUCAAUGAACCGGUUCAAUAAUUCAAACAAGGGAAGAUCGAUUAUGUGAAGUGAUGAAA